This 466-nucleotide ribosomal RNA is filed under the name uncultured bacterium. RNAcentral's name for it is "partial 16S ribosomal RNA". It matches the Rfam family "Bacterial small subunit ribosomal RNA", at positions 28 to 507 of the family's 1533-position model. The record is from RNAcentral.
GAUGAACGCUGGCGGCGUGCUUAACACAUGCAAGUCGAACGGAAAGGCUCCUGCUUGCAGGGGUACUCGAGUGGCGAACGGGUGAGUAACACGUGGGUGAUCUGCCCUGCACUUCGGGAUAAGCCUGGGAAACUGGGUCUAAUACCGGAUAGGACGAUGGUUUGGAUGCCAUUGUGGAAAGUUUUUCGGUGUGGGAUGAGCUCGCGGCCUAUCAGCUUGUUGGUGGGGUAAUGGCCUACCAAGGCGUCGACGGGUAGCCGGCCUGAGAGGGUGUACGGCCACAUUGGGACUGAGAUACGGCCCAGACUCCUACGGGAGGCAGCAGGGGGGAAUAUUGCACAAUGGGCGCAAGCCUGAUGCAGCGACGCCGCGUGGGGGAUGACGGCCUUCGGGUUGUAAACUCCUUUCGCUAGGGACGAAGCGUUUUGUGACGGUACCUGGAGAAGAAGCACCGGCUAACUACGUG